AAGACAGAAGUAGGAGUGAAGCUAAAAGCACAUCGUCUCUCAGAGGUUUUGUUAAUUACAGAAAAACAUUGGUGGAAGGAAAGCAGACUGCAAACUUCUUGGGCUGCAUCUGUCUGUCUCCACAUCCCGCACAAGCCCAGCCCCAGCCCGUACAAGUGUGUGCCUCUGCCCCAGAGCCACGGCACGCAUCCGGGUUGGGGAUGUGCUACCGAGUGCUCCUGGGCCAGCGCCGGGGCAGCCCUCAGAUGGGGACCAUCCACGUGCACUUGCUUGGAGGGAGUAGUGGGCACCUGGUGGGGUGGAGAAUGUGACAGCAGUGGCCUAAUGCUCUCUCACCUGAAAAUCACCAGGAGAAGGAAAGAUGAGAGUGGAAGAAAGACGCCUGGGGUCUUGGGAAUUGUUGGAGAGACAGAGACACUUCUCCUUUCGGACAGAGAGCACCUUCUCGAUCCCCUCUCCCGCAGGGGCAGGGGCAGACUGUCUGACAGGUACUUUACCCUGCUGCUCCUCACCGCCUGCCUGCUUUGCCUGAGCGAGCCACCUACACACAUCCUCUCUGCCAGCAGGUGCAUUAAAAAGUUUAACAGACAUUCUCUGGGCUCCUCUGCACCAAACUCUUCAGUCGUACUGCUCUCUAUUUUAGAUUAGGGAGAUACCAAAACAGGGGAAAACAAACACAAGAUCUACAAGUAUGGUAACAGGUAAGGGAACAUUCUGAUUACACGGAGGACUGUGACAGCAAAGGUGUAACCAUCAGUUCUACAGUAGCUGAGACUUUGGAAAAAAACACUUCCUUUUUGCUCUACAUAAGAAACCCCCCGAAUCUCAGGGGGUUUAUUUUUU
This 843-nucleotide long non-coding RNA is filed under the name Anser brachyrhynchus (Pink-footed goose). Its description in RNAcentral is "lncRNA (ENSABRG00000021143.1)". The record is from RNAcentral. Lineage: Eukaryota; Metazoa; Chordata; Aves; Anseriformes; Anatidae.